This 1284-nucleotide small RNA is filed under the name Histoplasma ohiense. Its description in RNAcentral is "hypothetical lncRNA". Lineage: Eukaryota; Fungi; Ascomycota; Eurotiomycetes; Onygenales; Ajellomycetaceae. The record is from RNAcentral.
ACUCCUGCGAAGGAUGUGGACACAAGUUUAUCACAAACAACUGAGCCCCACCCCAAACGCCGGCAGUUCAUUGAUGAACAAUCCCAAACCUAAUAUAAAGCGAGAUGUUUCCAAAGUUGACUUCCCCACUCAAUCCCUCCCCCGAACCUGAGAACCCAAUGGCGGUAUUACGCCGCCACGGCUUCAGGAAUUAGCGCGUACUCCUUUUCUCCGUUCUUCUCGAAUUCUGCCAUAUCAAGCGCAACGAUAACACUAUCCCUCACCACUUGUUCGGGAUCGUCUAAAAACUUCUUUAGUGUCUCCUCCACUCCUUCUUCAUCUCCAAGACUCCCAAGAGCUUCAGCAGCCUCAUGACGCACCAUACUGGCUUCCUUCAUAUUGUGGAGUGUGGCGGUGAGGCUGGGAAUACUAGCAGGAUGAGACAAUUGGCCAAAAACGAAUGCUAUCUCAUGUCGAAAGAGUGCCGAAGAGUCUUUGAACCCUUCUGCUAGAGCACAUACAGCUGGAACAGCGGUCGGAAGGUCUGGAGGUGAAGCAAGAUCUCGAAGAGCGAACAUCGCACGGUAUCUUUGGAAAAGCGGAAGGUUUGGGUCGAGGAGGGUACGUUCUAAAUCGGGGAUGGAUGGCUCAUCGGUGGCCAUUGGUAGUGGGGGGGCAGGGUCAAUUGAUGUAAAAUCACUUUAUAUAACAGCACCAAAUCCGUUAGCCAUGGGGAUAUAUUGUUAGUUAGGGAUGCGGUAUCUGUCUGCAGUUUUACCUUUGUUUUAGGUUCUCGGCUUUGCGUCGACCAGACAUUUCCCAUUCAAUCCUCUCCACAGCAAUGUCGCAAGUUUCCCUUACAACAUCAGGCUCGUUUUUAUCAUCCCUCAAAUUCCGUAGAAUAUCUAGGCUGUCUGAAUCACACAGCGCCCCUAGCGCCUCCGCCGCCUCAUGCCGACACAUCGGAUCCUCUCCUCGAUUCUCCAACACCUCCCGGAGAUAGGGAACUGCAGCUAAGUUUUUAGUCUGUCCCAAGCAGUAUGCAAGUUCAUGCUUUAAAAGAGCAGAUGGAGAUGAGAAUGCUGCAGCGAUCGCUUGGAUCGAAGGUAAACUCUGUUCUGUAGGCGGCUGGAGACAGGCGACAUGUUUCAGGGAGAAUAAGGCACGGAAUCGCCGUGCUAAAGGCUCACUUUCGGAGGUGUAUCCGUUGCGCCCGGCGACAUCUUACACAGUGGAAUAUAUUACCGUAGGUAUGGUUCCAGGAUCUGCAAUUCCUAACAUGAACAUUCGAAUAUCUUCACCCCA